GACGAACGCUGGCGGCGUGCUUAACACAUGCAAGUCGAACGGACAGGCCCCUUGCGUGGUACUCGGGUGGCAGACGCGUGCGUGACACGUACAUAACCUUCCCUUGACUUCGGGAUAACUAUAGGAAACUGGGACUAAUACCGGUUAGGAAUCCUUUCUUCAUGCGGGGGGUUGGAAAGCUUCGGCGGGUUUGGGUGGACUCGCGGCUUAUCAGCUUGUUGGUGGAGUAGUGGCUUACCAAGGCUUCGUCGGGUAGCGGGCCUGAGUGGGCGACCGGCCACAUUGGGACUGAGAGACGGCCCAGACUGCUACGGGAGGCAGAAGGGGGGAAUAUUGCACGAUGGGCGGAAGCCUGAUGCAGAAACGCCGCGUGCGGGAUGACGGCCUUCGGGUUGUAAACCGUUUUCAGCAGGGGCGAAGCUUGUGGUGACGGUACCUGCAGAAGAAGCAACGGCUAACUACGUG
Molecule: ribosomal RNA, 465 nt
Filed under: uncultured bacterium
Lineage: Bacteria
Description: partial 16S ribosomal RNA
Rfam family: Bacterial small subunit ribosomal RNA
Source: RNAcentral